RNAcentral lists this long non-coding RNA (235 nucleotides) under Elaeis guineensis (African oil palm). RNAcentral's name for it is "long non-coding RNA (EGUI_LNC040460)". Lineage: Eukaryota; Viridiplantae; Streptophyta; Magnoliopsida; Arecales; Arecaceae. The record is from RNAcentral.
UCCGUAUGAGUGCUAGCUCGUGCAGUCGACUUUUGAUGGUAGAUCUGACUUGAUCUCCUUCUUCAAUCAUCUCAAAUCUUUUUGAUAUCGAAGAUGGAUCAGAGAAGGAUGCUAGAUGGUGGAGAAAAUUUAGAUGAAGACUCUCUUCUCUUUGGUUUUUUCCUCAUCCAAAAAUCUAGAAUAGUUCUAGGUCUCUCACCCAAGAGGAGGACGGUCUCCUCUUUUGUUCAUGCCA